ACACAGACAGCUUCAGUCUACCCGUGUGGAGAUUUUCAGUUUCGCCGCAUAUUUCUUUUUGGGUUGACGUACGUUUUGAGCCUUUCAAGUUAAUAAAAAAAAAAAAAAAAUUCCAGUGUGGACUACGGCAGAGAGGAGCCCGGGAGUGUGGUUCGACUUCGAAGGAGACUGAUGGACCAGGAAACGCAGCCUCGCUAUCCUUGGGAAGAAAAGUUACUGAGGAUUGCUGGGCCCAGCAGAGAAAACCAUGUGACAAAGACCCUAUGACACAGCUUAACGAGAGUGAAAAAAUAUUGUACUUUUCCUCCUGAAGAAGAAUCUUGCUCGCAGAAAGAUGCCGAUAUAUACAGGUACCAGAAAAAACUGUAGGCCUUAAAAAUAAGCCAGGGUUCUAGUCUCCUCACGUGAUAGACAAAAUCAAACUCACAUUUCCACCAAGGAAAGAAGUACUGUUUGAACAUGCCGGGUCAGUGGGUUAAAAAAUGAUAAUAAUAAUAAUAAAAAAGAAGCAAUGAAAUUA
This is a long non-coding RNA of Ornithorhynchus anatinus (platypus), 520 nucleotides long. RefSeq lists it as uncharacterized. The record is from RefSeq and is a predicted model, not a curated record. Lineage: Eukaryota; Metazoa; Chordata; Mammalia; Monotremata; Ornithorhynchidae. The transcript is spliced from 2 exons.